This is an RNA transcript of Macaca mulatta (Rhesus monkey), 328 nucleotides long. It is a transcript of the gene named NADH dehydrogenase [ubiquinone] 1 beta subcomplex subunit 1 pseudogene, with no coding region annotated. Lineage: Eukaryota; Metazoa; Chordata; Mammalia; Primates; Cercopithecidae. The record is from RefSeq and is a predicted model, not a curated record.
ACUGGCAUGGGUGGCUGGGUUCCCCAUCGCCCUUGGUCUCGGGGUCGCUGUCGGCACUGAGGCUGCAGCUAUCAUGGUGAACUUACUUCAGAUUGUGCGGGACCACUGGGUUCAUGUUCUUGCCCCUGUGGGAUUUGUCAUUGGAUGUUAUUUAGACAGAAAGAGUGAUGAAUGGCUAACUACCUUCCGGAACAAGAGUACGUUAUUUAAAAGGGAAUUGCGACCCAGUGAGAAGUUACCUGGAAGUAAAGACUGGCUGAAUUACAGAAUGUUCACAUCUUAAAGUUCUGAGAGAAAUAAAAACGUUCAGAACCAAAAAAAAAAAAAA